This 403-nucleotide ribosomal RNA is filed under the name uncultured bacterium. Its description in RNAcentral is "partial 16S ribosomal RNA". It matches the Rfam family "Bacterial small subunit ribosomal RNA", at positions 28 to 526 of the family's 1533-position model. The record is from RNAcentral.
GACGAACGCUGGCGGCGUGCCUAAUACAUGCAAGUCGAACGCAGUGGGGACGGGUUAGUAACCCGCUGGUAACCUCCCAUCAUUGGGGAUAACACUUGGAAACAGGUGCUAAACCGAUACUGAUGGAUGGACCCGCGGGGCAUUAGCUAGUUGGAGAGGUAACGGAUCCCCAAGGCAACGAUGCAUAGCCGACCGGGGAGGGUGAACGGCCACACUGGGACUGAGACACGGCCCAGACUCCUAAGGGAGGCAGCAGUAGGGAAUCUUAGGCAAUGGACGAAAGUCUGACCGAGCAACGCAGGGUGAGUGAAGAAGGUUUUCGGUUCGUAAAGCUCUGUAGUUAGAGAAGCGGUAUCUAACCAGAAAGCCCCGGCUAACUACGUGCCAGCAGCCGCGGUAAUUC